RNAcentral lists this ribosomal RNA (596 nucleotides) under Staurodiscus kellneri. RNAcentral's name for it is "partial large subunit ribosomal RNA". It matches the Rfam family "Bacterial large subunit ribosomal RNA", at positions 1833 to 2597 of the family's 2925-position model. Lineage: Eukaryota; Metazoa; Cnidaria; Hydrozoa; Leptothecata; Laodiceidae. The record is from RNAcentral.
GCCCUAGAUAAUAUCUAAGGUGUAACCUGCCCAAUGAUUUUAAAAUUAAAAUGUAUAAAAGACAUUUAAUAAAAUUUAAAGGACGCAGUAACCUUGACUGUGAUAAUGUAGCAUAAUCAUUCGCCAUUUAAUUGAUGGAUAGUAUGAAUGGUUGAACGAAUAUUCCACUGUCUUAGAGAAAAAACCCUCUAAAUUAAAGUAAUAGUUAAGAUGCUAUUUUAAAUUGUAAGACGAAAAGACCCUAUAGAGCUUAACUAUAGUCUCAUUUAGAUAAAAGAAAAGAACAUUCUCAACUUAAAGAGACAGGUAGUUUAGUUGGGGCGACUAUCUUCUAAAAAUAACGAAGAGAAACAAAGUUAAUAAAAAACUUACUGUAUAAUUAAUAAAUUUAACAGUUACAAAAGUAGGUUAUAAUGACCCGUUAUAAAACCAUAACAAAUAUAACGAUCAAUAAAUAAAAGCUACCUUAGGGAUAACAGGAUAAUUUCAUCUUAGAGAUCCUAUCGAAAAUGAAGUUUGUCACCUCUAUGUUGAAUUAAGAUAUCCAGACAAUGCAGCAGUUGUCAAAGGUAGGUCUGUUCGACCUUUAAAAUCUU